Molecule: unclassified non-coding RNA, 250 nt
Filed under: uncultured Sordariales
Lineage: Eukaryota; Fungi; Ascomycota; Sordariomycetes; Sordariales
Description: sequence contains 5.8S rRNA gene
Rfam family: 5.8S ribosomal RNA (bases 1-53)
Source: RNAcentral
GAACGCACAUUGCGCCCGCUAGUAUUCUGGCGGGCAUGCCUGUUCGAGCGUCAUUUCAACCAUCAAGUCCCCGGGCUUGCGUUGGGGCCCUGCGGCUGCCGCAGGCCCCUAAAACCAGUGGCGGGCUCGCUGUCACACCGAGCGCAGUAGCAAUAUCUCGCUCUGGGCGUGGCGGGGGGUGCUUGCCGUAAAACACACCACUUUCAGAAGGUUGACCUCGGAUCAGGUAGGAAUACCCGCUGAACUUAAG